GUUUUCCACCUGCAGCUUCAUCCACACGGUGCUUGUCAUGACGUGAGCAGAUUAUCAUGCAAUUAAAUCACCUCGAGACCACGUGGUGAUUCACACGUGGUUUGUGUGCCACACUUCCGAGUGCUCGCAGAAGCUUCAGCGUUCUUUCUUUGUUCCGUUGACGCCUGAUCUACGUCCAGCGUAGCCGCUCAACUCCCAUCCGCACAACAGCAACUCACACUGUAUACAUAUUACAGAUGCACCCAUCUAGGAUCAGCCACUAAAGGUCUUGUAAGGGAUUGCUCAUAUUCAGCUGCAGCAGGUUUCCGAAUAACGGGAAAGGCAGUGGUCCGGGGGGGAAGUGUUUGGGCCUCCGAGUUCUAAAGAGGAAGAAGAGGAGGUAGAAGCCAAUCCACAGGAGAAUCAGUGAGCCCAGCAUGACAGGAGAUGAUGGCUCUUCCUUCAAUGAAAAACAGCUGCUCGGUUAUCUGAAUGACCUCCUCGCUGCUGGAACAGACACCACUUGCCAACACACUCCUCACAGCCU
Anguilla anguilla (European eel) is the source of this 526-nucleotide long non-coding RNA. RefSeq lists it as uncharacterized. Lineage: Eukaryota; Metazoa; Chordata; Actinopteri; Anguilliformes; Anguillidae. The record is from RefSeq and is a predicted model, not a curated record. The transcript has 4 exons.